CAGCCGCCGCGGUAACACGUAGGUGGCAAGCGUUGUCCGGAAUUAUUGGGCGUAAAGGGCUCGCAGGCGGUUUCUUAAGUCUGAUGUGAAAGCCCCCGGCUCAACCGGGGAGGGUCAUUGGAAGCUGGGAAACUUGAGUGCAGAAGAGGAGAGUGGAAUUCCACGUGUAGCGGUGAAAUGCGUAGAGAUGUGGAGGAACACCAGUGGCGAAGGCGACUCUCUGGUCUGUAACUGACGCUGAGGAGCGAAAGCGUGGGGAGCGAACAGGAUUAGAUACCCCCGUAGUCCCUGUCUCUUAUAC
This 301-nucleotide ribosomal RNA is filed under the name uncultured bacterium. RNAcentral's name for it is "partial 16S ribosomal RNA". It matches the Rfam family "Bacterial small subunit ribosomal RNA", at positions 509 to 807 of the family's 1533-position model. The record is from RNAcentral.